RNAcentral lists this ribosomal RNA (293 nucleotides) under uncultured bacterium. RNAcentral's name for it is "partial 16S ribosomal RNA". It matches the Rfam family "Bacterial small subunit ribosomal RNA", at positions 44 to 334 of the family's 1533-position model. The record is from RNAcentral.
GUGCCUAACACAUGCAAGUCGAACGAGAAAGUCCCCGCAAGGGGAUGAGUACAGUGGCGAACGGGUGAGUAACACGUGACUAACCUGCCUUCGAGUGGGGGAUAACUCCGGGAAACCGGGGCUAAGACCGCAUAACAUCUCCGGGAUGCAAUGCCCGGAGUCAAAGGGGUAAGACGCUUGAAGAGGGGGUCGCGGCUGAUUAGUUAGUUGGCGGGGUAACGGCCCACCAAGACGAUGAUCAGUAGCCGGCCUGAGAGGGCGCACGGCCACACUGGAACUGAAACACGGUCCAG